UGGGGGUGGUGUCAAACGAAGAGCAUAAAUUGUAGCCCGAGUGUGAGCGCAGCACAGUGUGUGUGUGUCCGUGUGUGCGUGAACUGCUCAUCCCCUGCAUACCUGCUCCUUCCCUCUUCCUCUGGAUUUGUAUACAUAUAUGCCUCUGUGUUUAUAUAUGUAUAUUUGCAUUUUCAGCUUUUUCUUUAAAAAAAAAAAAACACAAUAUUUUUUUUUAGUGUUGCGUACUGUCAGAUGGAUUUUUGCAGGCUGAUAUAGCUUAUGGUACGGGGGAAUACUCCACUUUUUUUUAAUAAGGCUACAACAUCCCAGCUCCUGAUUUUCCCUCUUCUCUCAUCCUGCAUGCGUGAAACCUUCCUACCUGUCUACCUCUCCCCUGCCCCCUUCACCCCACCUAGAACAUCUCCCUGCAACCCAGCUCUCCAGCCUCAUGAAAGGAGCUUCUUCUGGGGCAGAGAGCUUCGGCAGGACCCCUGUUCAUCCCUGGAUGGAGAAUAGCAAGAACUGACGGAACUAAGAGAACGGAAAACCGGGAUAUACACUUCUCUACGGGGCUGUUUCUAUUUCCCCGCAAUAGAUCAAGAAUACAGGAAAAAGGAGCAAAAAAUAAUCCUUAAAGCAGUAGUUUUGCAGAAAUAGAUUAUGCUCCUGGGUACUUUUUUUGUAUGUGUUCUCAUGGUUAUGGCUGUAACUGAUGUGUUGGAACAUUACAACAUAUUUAUUUUCUAAAUACAUGUACAUUUUCUGUUGUGUAAUGUAUGCAUUUUUUUUUCUUCAAAUGUCAUCAUCAGCUUCAACUCUUUUGAUGUGAUUUUAACCCGAACUUGUUUUUACUUGCGGUAUAGGUGCAUGUAUGCCGUGAGAGAGUGACAGAAAUAAAAAAGACAGAGAGAGAGAGAAAGAGAGGUGGGGGGAGAGAGGGAAUAAGGAGGGAGAGAGAGAACAGACUGUCAUAAGGAAGCGUUAGCUUUACAUUGCGAUGCUGGCAGGCGUCUCAUGGCGGUGGAUGUGCUGAAUGGACGGAGGUGGAGAGCAGCGCAUAGCUUUGCAUCUUCACAUCUCACACACACAGCUUUGCUGGUCCUCUUUGUUUGGCAGAGAUGAGGGAAGGUCUGCUGGAAUGAAAAUGAAAGCAGGUGCCAGGGCUUCUUGCAGAAUGGUACAACAAAAGAGAAGAAUCACCGUCGACAAGGAGACAGACUGGACUGCAUCUGUCUUAAACAUACUGCAUCAAUGUUCUUCAAGACACGUGCCGACCCCCUCCCCACCUUCAUGUUGUCUGGGGAUCCCAUGAGGUUUAGGGUUCCCUGGGGAAAGAGGCUGAGGUCAGAGAAGGGCCCCUCAGGCGGCAUGAUAUAGACAGACGGGAGGUUGAGCCAUGUGCUGCAUCUUAUUCCCCCCCCAUACGCAAAACACCCCUAAUAUCAUCCAUACACACACACACACACACACAAAGUACCCCAAUAAAAAUACUAAUAUCGUUAAUGCGCUUGCACAGUUUAUGCAUCUUAGUACUAAAGGUGGUAGUGUUCUCCUGAACUGUCAUUAAUUAAAGAGUUCAGUGACCUCACUGACAAGACAACCCUUGACCAAUUACCCAAGCGCAAAAACCAUUGUCAUUGCCAAAGUAUAUCAAGUUUAAAAUAAUGCCAUAUUGUUCACUAAGUAUGAACUAAAAUAUCCAUUGUGUCUGAUAGUUUAAUCUCAUUAUUAUACAGAGUGAAAGAUUUGGUGAUAUAUGCUUAAAUACAAGGAUGUAUCCAAAGCCCUAUAUGUAUAAGUGAGACCGGGGCUAGUUUAAAGGCCAUAUCCAGUAAGUGCAAGUUUUUGAGCCAAAAGCCCAAUCACACAAAUAGUUGCUUUCUCUGGCAGUGCUUUCUGUGUUGAUUUCAAACACAUUUCUGGGGUCUGUCCUUCAAACUAAAAUUCCAGUAUCAUUAUAUUUUGGCUAUAAAUGUUUGGUAAACAACUGAACACAAUAAAAACACACUAGCAUACAAUCUGACAGCAGUCAGCUAUAUAGUUUUCAACAGGAAAACCGAACCAUGUUCUAAGGACAAGGGUAAUUUUCAUUAAUGUUUUUGAAUUAAUGAAUUUAUUCAUUGCAAUAGCAGUUGGCCCAAACAAUGUUUUGACAUGUUUGUACAACCUUUAGAUAUUUUUCAUGUGUCAUGGUAUGUUUAUGCUUCAUAAUUGUUUUAAUUUUAAAUUUGACAGAAAAUUCAGCAAAUCCAUUAAAUAGCCAAUAAUACAAGUAUUUAUUAUAAUAAGUCCCCAAUAAUACAACUGAUCAGUUACAAUAUUUGUGGGCCAAAACAAUGUUUUGAAUGUUUCCCUUCACAUUUUGCUGUUUCAAGAAUUGUUCUGUUUCAUAAUUGUUUGAAAUUUGCUGGAACGCCUAUGAUAGGGCGUUUAAUGUUAAGUUUCAUUAUGACAACUUUCCCUUUAUAAUGUGACAACACGCAGCGCUAUUAAGGCAUGUUGUCAAAACUUUUUAACCAACAUUUUAUGGUAUGCGCCUAUACAAAAAAUGACUUCCAAAAAUAAAACUAACCUACCCUAGGCCUAUUCACUGGAGUAAAAUGUGUGACAACUAGCCCCAAUUUCCACCCCCCAAAUGUUUUAAUGAGUUGCUGGACACUGAAAUAUUUUGUUUGAUGAUUGUGAUGUAAAGACAAGAAAUAAAGGUUUGUAUACAGACACAAACAUUGCACCUCUUUCUUUACCACAUUCCAAAGGAGAAGCCCUGUUCACAUUUCAAACAAUUAUGAGCUAAGCUUAUUUGGAUAGAUCUUUUGUUAAAAUAACCAGAAUAUAAAUUGACAGAUUCAAGAAAAAAUCCUUUUAAUUAAAAUAUCAAAUAAUAAUAAUAAUAAUAAUAAUAAAAAAAAAAUCAUAUUUGUCACAAGUGCGAGUACUCGUGUCUGUUUCAGUCAAUUCUAAGUGGGUCGUUUACACCAGUUUGGGCAUUUUGAAAACGCACGGAAAAUGAAGAUCUGCCGCCCCCUAAUGGACAAACAUCGUCACUUCCAUAUCGUGCCGCCAUUUUAUGAUUAAAUUCUUCAGAGUGGCAAACGUUUACGAACACCCACUAUGUCUUCAGGAUACUGACACGCAAUUUAGACGUGUAAUCCACCUAAUUUUCAACCAGCUUCAGUGAAUUUAGCAAUUUUCUACUACACACGAGCGUGUUUCACACUCAAGGAAAACCCGUACACGUUCUAAUGGCAAAGUGGCAAACAGCGCCACCGAGAGGCCGUAUUUAAAACGGCAGGAGUAAAGAAAUACAGCGUACCAAACAUGCCAUCAAAUAUUCAAUGCAACAAGAAUUAAAAAGGCAAAUGUAUUUCUUAGAUCAUAAUUACAUUUAAGGAAUUCAAUAAUUUCUUGAAAAUACCUAGGUGACAGACAAGGAGAAAACGCUCACUCCAAGUUGGCAAUUCCUGACAGAACUAAAUAAAACACCCCUAUGAAAAUAACGAGCAUUAGGUUGAACGCAAAACUACUUUAACUGUUCAUUUACGCCUUCAUUUAUCCUUGAGACCUGGCAACUGAACCAUUAGUGUUAUCGUUAAGCCGUAAGCCACAGGUUCAAUCGACAGUAUUUUUGUGGCAUCUGAUGAUUAUAAAAAAACGAGAUAACAGUGAGGCACUUACAAUGGAAGUGAAUGGGACCAGUUGUUUGAGGGUUUAAAAGGCAGACAUUAAGGUUUAUAAUUUUAUGAAAGCACUUACAUUAAUUCUUGUAAAUCUUGUGUAUUAUUUGAGCUGUAAAGUUUUAAGUCAUUUUAUCGAAGGUUUUCGCAAAUUUGCCACUCGUUUUCACAUGCAAAUUAUUUGCUUGUAAUUUGCCGCAAAUUAUUGCCAGAAGUGUGCAUUUAUUCACCUGUAGCAUUGAAUUGGCAGGAAACCUAAGGCAACAACUGACAAUUUGCCAUUACUGGCAAACACUUCUAUGGCAAACCUGUGGCAACAAUAUAAGUUUGCCACAGUGGUUUGCCAGAACUCUCGAUUUUAGUAAUGGAACUUUAUACAGAAAAAGUUUGCAAAUGAUAUUUCCUUGUGGCCAUACUUUUAAAACAGCAUUUUAACAUUUACAAAUUAGCCCCAUUCACUUCUAUUGUAAGCACCUCACUGUAAACCAGAUUUGUUUUUUUCCCCCAAAGAAGUCAAAAUGAACUUUAGCGGUAAACUACAUUAUGCCACAAAUGCUGUCAAUUAAGUUUAACUUGUAUUGAACCCAGAAUAUUCAUUUAACAAUUUUCUUUUUGUCAAUACAAUCUUCAGACAUUAGUUUAUUUGUUUCUUGUUAAGUUCCUUAAAGACCAAAACCUGACUUUUGUUUCGCAAAGUGACGUUACAUUAAAUGCUCUUGACAGACACUUCUUAACAAGAAAGCACAUAGUGUUUGUAGAAAUUAAGCAGACGGCCAAGGAUACAGUUAAGAUUAAAUCCAAAUCUUCAAAGUGCCAAUAAAAACAAUAUCGAUGCAAAAUAUUCAAGUUCAACCUCCAAAUUCUUCCAUUUCAACAGCUUUAAGUUCACCAUAAAGCAAACACACUUCAAACUUUGUGCAGCAUCUUUAUUCUGACACUGCUAAAUGCCAGCAGUUUUUGCAGGACUCGUUUAAUGCACCGAUAUGAACAUAGCAGAAGGAGGGUUGAAGGUGUGCAGGCAGCUAGUGUAGGACAGGAGUCAGGAGUGUGGGUGCUGGGUCAAUGGGGGCCAGGCAGUUUGGGACACGGGUUAGUGCAUGAAAGUUUUUUGUCAAAUAAGGGGAAAUGCAUCACACAAGUUUUGCAGAGUAUAUCACAUUUAUUUUUAAUGAACUGAUUAUGCGAAAGAGAGGGUCCAAGGCCCAUCUCAAUGUAGACGGAAGAAAAAGAUAAAAAAAAAAAUAAAAAAAAAAAAGACGAGGACAGCAGCCCAUUGCAAAAAAAAAAAAAAAAAAAAAAAAAAAAGUUUAACUUGCAUAAGAAAAAGGAGUAAAUGAAAAAUAAGCUGACAACUCUCAAACACAGCCCCUUUUGUACACUAUAAAACUGAUCCAACGACCAAAGCUUUAACUCAAAUCUGCUUCUCCACUUAUCCCCUUUUACAAACACAAAAACGGGAACACAGAGGAAGAAAAAAAAAAAAAACAA
Molecule: long non-coding RNA, 5144 nt
Organism: Myxocyprinus asiaticus (Chinese sucker)
Lineage: Eukaryota; Metazoa; Chordata; Actinopteri; Cypriniformes; Catostomidae
Exons: 2
Source: RefSeq, a predicted model, not a curated record